AGAGUUUGAUCCUGGCUCAGAUUGAACGCUGGCGGCAUGCUUUACACAUGCAAGUCGAACGGGGUUAAGGGGCUUGCUCCUUAAUCUAGUGGCGAACGGGUGAGUAAUGCAUCGGAACGUACCCGGGAGUGGGGGAUAACGCACCGAAAGGUGUGCUAAUACCGCAUAUUCUGUGAGCAGGAAAGCAGGGGACCUUAGGGCCUUGUGCUUCCGGAGCGGCCGAUGUCGGAUUAGCUAGUUGGUGAGGUAAAGGCUCACCAAGGCGACGAUCCGUAGCGGGUCUGAGAGGAUGAUCCGCCACACUGGGACUGAGACACGGCCCAGACUCCUACGGGAGGCAGCAGUGGGGAAUUUUGGACAAUGGGCGCAAGCCUGAUCCAGCCAUGCCGCGUGUCUGAAGAAGGCCUUCGGGUUGUAAAGGACUUUUGUCAGGAAGGAAAACCUAUUGGCUAA
This 453-nucleotide ribosomal RNA is filed under the name uncultured bacterium. RNAcentral's name for it is "bacterial SSU rRNA". It matches the Rfam family "Bacterial small subunit ribosomal RNA", at positions 8 to 463 of the family's 1533-position model. The record is from RNAcentral.